Quercus lobata is the source of this 937-nucleotide long non-coding RNA. RefSeq lists it as uncharacterized. The transcript is spliced from 6 exons. The record is from RefSeq and is a predicted model, not a curated record. NCBI's taxonomy places the organism in Eukaryota, Viridiplantae, Streptophyta, Magnoliopsida, Fagales, Fagaceae.
AGAAUCUAGUGAAAGUGUCCUGGAACGUUGAGGGAAUUUGACAAAUGGAUUCAAAUACUCUUUGCUCCCUUCAUGGAAGAUUAUUGGACUUGUUGGCAAGGAGAAACUGUCACACUGCUAGGAGACAAGAAGACAAGUGCAACUGAUUGUAUGACCAUGAUUCUCAUUCUGUCAUAUUCAUUGUGAGUGGAGGGAGGCAUGUGCUGAAGUUGAAGCUGAAGUCUUUCUGCUUCUCCAAAAAUGAAUGUGUCAAGCAAAAGUGUGGUACAAAAUCAAGAUUUGAAAAGCCGUUGCACAGAGAAUUUUCCCCUUACUUUACUCGUACAAAAAUUGAUUACCUGAAUCUAAGCUUGUUCAAAGAUGUGCGGUAACCAACUCUAUAAAAAGCUCUCGCAGGAGACAAUCUUCAAGUAAUCGGAUUCAAGCCGGAAAGCAACUGUGCUGACAAGGUUGAAAAUUGGAGAAGGUAGCCUACUUGGAUUGGACCUGGUUAGGGAGCUAUACUCUCCUGAAGUGGCUGCUCAAAUUUUAACUACCUGUAUCUGAAGGUGAGGAGUUACUGAUACACUGAUAUGGCCUCAUGUAACACAUGCACGAUAUUUGAUCAAAAUAGCCUGCAAUGCUGCAUGCAUUGGAAGUAAGGGAUCACGUAAUGGAUUCUCAUCAGAGUUUCAUGGCUCCUAGAUGGAGAAAUCUGUGGAGCUUGAAGCUUUCUUUGAAUAUGUGUUUUUGUGUGGAAGUGUUGGCAAGAGUACGUGGCCACUAAAACAGAUUAGUAGAAAUGAAACAUAGUGGAUUAUACUAAGUAUGCUUUGAUUAUUUAUUCCCAAAGUGCAGUCUUGCUCGGUCUGUAUGGUUUGGGUCAGAUUUGACCCAUAGAACCAAUUUCAUUUUGUCCUUCCUCUUUGUAGCAAUGGUUGGCUCAAUAGAUGGAGGA